CAGUAGCCGCGGGAAUACAGAGGAUGCAAGCGUUAUCCGGAAUGAUUGGGCGUAAAGCGUCUGUAGGUGGCUUUUCAAGUCCGCCGUCAAAUCCCAGGGCUCAACCCUGGACAGGCGGUGGAAACUACCAAGCUGGAGUAUGGUAGGGGCAGAGGGAAUUUCCGGUGGAGCGGUGAAAUGCGUUGAGAUCGGAAAGAACACCAACGGCGAAAGCACUCUACUGGGCCGACACUGACACUGAGAGACGAAAGCUAGGGGAGCAAAUGGGAUUAGAUACCCCCGUAGUCCCUGUCUCUUAUAA
RNAcentral lists this ribosomal RNA (301 nucleotides) under uncultured bacterium. RNAcentral's name for it is "partial 16S ribosomal RNA". It matches the Rfam family "Bacterial small subunit ribosomal RNA", at positions 509 to 809 of the family's 1533-position model. The record is from RNAcentral.